This is a non-coding RNA of Camellia sinensis, 989 nucleotides long. The record is from RefSeq and is a predicted model, not a curated record. NCBI's taxonomy places the organism in Eukaryota, Viridiplantae, Streptophyta, Magnoliopsida, Ericales, Theaceae.
GUGCUUCAAUCUAAAACUUCACGGAUAUUUGGUGGUUGUUGACAUAUUUAUGAAUUCAUAUGAAAAGUUCUUUCUCCACAUCUUAUAUUUUGUUAUUGCCCAUUCCUACUUGGUAUGAUGCAUCGCAUUACUGUAUGCAUUGAUCACUUAAAUAUCUAAGACUAUUAACUUACUGUAUUUUUGUCAAUUGGUUUGAGUUUGCUAGGUUAUGUCAAAAACUAUAUUGCCUAUAUACUUUGUGGUUGAUAUCCUUAAGGUUGGAGCAAGGUUGGUGCAUGGUGUGGAGGAUUAUUGUACUGUAAUUUUUAGUUUGUUUGGAAAGAAUGGAAUAGAGGGACAUUUGAGAGGGUUAAACUGUUCCUUCAAGUGUUGGAUGCUUGUAGCAUUGGCUUUUAUUUUUCUUCUAUUGUCAAAUUUGUUAGUGGUGUUAUUCAGGAAAAGGAUACUUUUGUUUCAGUUACUUUUGAUAUUUCAUGAUUUUUAGGGUAGUCUGAAAAUUUGGCUGGCUUGGUCAGUGUGUGUGCAGGGUUUUAAUGUCGAAUUUGCCUCAAUAUAUAUAUAUUAAUUCUGGUUAAUUCUUUACUCUUUAAAUAGUGAGGUUUUUAUUAUUUAUUUCCUUUUCCCUGUAGUCCACUUUUGGCUUUCUAGGUGAUUGAAUCACUAAGUUUUGUUACCUAUAAAUAUGUGCGUAUACAUCAUUUACUGGUUGUGCCAUGAGAUUUAUUGAAGGUAAGGAAGUUUUAAGUUUAGGUUCUUAGAUGAGCUGAUUUUUCCCAUGUUAUAAUCAGUCUUUGCCUUCUUAUUAUAUGAAGAUCCACCAAUGUGCUCUAUCUCUCUACACCAUCAGACUAAUAGGCAAUGUGCAAGGUAUUAAAUCUUUCUUUAUGCGAGGAUCGUCAAUGAUGCUCUGUGGUAUGGAUCGGGUCUAGGUGUAUGUGUAGCCUUACCUAUGGAUUUUGCUGGAGUGCAAAGCCCCAAUGUUGGUGGGG